This 3188-nucleotide long non-coding RNA is filed under the name Carassius auratus (goldfish). RNAcentral's name for it is "lncRNA (ENSCARG00000067937.1)". Lineage: Eukaryota; Metazoa; Chordata; Actinopteri; Cypriniformes; Cyprinidae. The record is from RNAcentral.
AUGUCUCAGAAUGUGGAUUAUGGAAGGCAUUUGCAAGCACUGGAGCAAACCUCUAAAGUGUUCAGCAUCAGUAGAAAUGACAAGAAAUGCCACAAGCAGAUCAUAUCUGUGAAUCCAGCAUUCAGAAUUUUCUUUGGAGCAGAUGAAGAAUGUGGAGGGUUUUGUCUUUGACAGCAACAAGUGGGGGGUCUGUGAGGAUUUGCUGGCAGCAGCAGGUGAGGCGGGUGAGAUGAUCUUUGUCUGAAGUGUGAGAACAGCAGACAGUGGGAGGGAGUCAACAGUAGUGAACCUGCUGAGCUGCUGCUGUGGAGCACAGGGAUGGGUCUUUACAGCGCCAAAAACACUGGACAGGAAGAGCAGAUCGAGUUUCUUUUGAGUGCCAAUGGAUUCAAGCUGUAAAUGUGUGAGAUCUUGAUCAGUAAUGACUUCUGGCGUAUGGAAAAUACAAUACUUUGAACAAAAUGACAUUGAAUUUAUGGGUUUGUGGAGAUUUAUUACAGAAGGAAAUCUGUUUUUUUCGCUGCAUUGGAAAUCCCCUGCUGUCACAAUGCAAGGCUGUUGAUGAAUUUUUGUGACAUAAAUUGUACAUGUUUUAACAUGCUCAUAAAUAGAAAAACUGGUCUUGUCUAACAGCUUCUUUAAUUGUCAUUAUAGGCCUUUUAUUUUGUACACAAUUGUUGUCCUCAGAUGACUCAAAACUCUGGAAGACUUUGCGGUGCCUUAAUCAUUAAUUAUAAUCCUAAUAUAAGAUAUAUUUUUUGCUCAUGUCACCUGUUCUCUGUAGUUUCCAGGGCUUGCGUUGCGUUUAUUAUUUUGUUGCAAGCAGAUUAAAAGGAUAGAAAAUUGUCAUAAUUUAUUCACCCUCUUUUUGUUCCAAACCUAUAUUUGUUCCGAAACUUUCUUUUGUGGAACAUUGAAGUAAUUUCAGACUUUUUUUUUUUUUGUGCUUACAAUAUAAAUCAAUGGGAACCAAAAUGGUUUGGUCACUAUUUGGUCAGAAAGGUUUGGAACAACAUUAUUUACAAUGUGAGUAAAUAAUGACAGGAUAUUCUCAUUUUUCGGGUGAACUAUCACUUUAAUGAAAAAAAAAAAAAAAUCUAAAUUACAGUCAAAUUACUAUUAUUUUGUUUAAUGUGGUCUUUUUAAAAUAUACUCUUUUUUUAAUUAAAGCUAGACUGCAGCAAAUAUUUAGACAUUUUGAAAACAUCCCCUGAUUGCAUCUCUUCUUAAAGGAGUUAACCUUCUGUCCCAGGCCACUGAGUAAAGCGUUCAGUCCAGCCUCUCAGGGGAAUAAACACAGACAACUCAUAAAAUGGAUUAUUGCUUUAGUUAUGUUAUUUAUGGUGACAGAAGUAUGUAAACUGUAUGGAGACUGAAAAGAGAAAAACACUCAGCCAAAGACCUCCAAAGACAGCAGCCAAAAAUAAAAUCGGUGGUGUUGAGUUGUUGUUCUGAAGGACUCCAAACUGACAAGUCCCACGGGAACAAAACAUUGCUUUUCAUAACAGAAUAUGCUUCUUUUUUUUAUACCGCAAAGCACAUUUAUACUUUAGUAAUGAAGCUAUUAUUUAAGAACCAAGAACUGUUUAAAAAGGAAAGAACAAGUUGCCUGAAAUCCUUCGCCCAAUAUUCGUUUACAAUAACAAUAUAUAAAUCUUCAAUUUACAAAUCUGACCGGUCGACAGCAAACUGAUUUCAUAAUGAUUCAUUAUUUGCUAAUUACUAUUCACUGAAACACCACAAUGCAAUUGCUGAACUUUAAAUCUUAAAGUACUGAACAGCUGAAGUCAUCUCCAGAAAAAGGCCCUUAAUUUUCUAAUUAAAUCUCAAAUGAACAACAACAAUAGUUGGAUUGAGUUUUCACUCAUACAUCAUUAAAACUGUGCCUUUGACUUCUUUCAGUGUGCUGUCGUCAUUCAUUUGUAUCAAUCUUUUUCAGACCGUUACGGUGUCUUGUGUUAUGAUUAAUUAUUCAUAAUAAAUCUGAUUACUUGGGAGAGAUAAUCAGAAAACAAAAUGCGGCAGAUGACGGUGGAGGUGAGUGGAAGUUGUAGAGAAGACCCUGUGGAGCCCAGGAUCUGCAAUUAAACUGAUGAAGCGCACAAGCGUGGAUUAAGUGCUCAGUCAGAUGUUCAGUUAGGCUACACACAGCCGCACACAUACAUUUGCUGUGCCCUGUUCUCUAAUUAUAAUUCAUCAUUCAUUUCUCAGUGUGUCAUCGGCAAGAUUAUAUUAGCAAAUCUCCAAGCGCCAAACAAAACAUACAAAAACAUGCAAUCCUCACAAACAACGUUCCCCCAAUGAACCUGUUUAGUGACUAUUUGAGGCUUUGGUUUUUUUGUUGUUGUUUUGUUUCAGGGUUUUAUAUAUGCAUAUAUAUAUGUGUCUGUGUGUGUGUUUAAAAAAAAACUUUCAUUAUAAUUUUUGCGUACUGAGACUGAAAAAGGAGUGAAAUCCACCUUAACAUUUCUAAGUUAUAUGGUAAUUAUAUGUUUCAUAGUUUUUCCAUGCUGUGAUGAUGUGAUGAAAUAUAUAGAGCUGGUGUGAAAGAGCAGGGAAAUCUGUGGGAAUUGUAAAUGGAUAGUUAAAUGCACAAUGGAAAUUUAUGUGCCCGCAGAUGUCACAGACACAUGUGCAACCUCAGAGAGCGACAGAAAAAAAACCUUUUUGACAUGGUGCAAUUAGUGUAAAUCUUUAGUAUCUUCACAUAGAAAUAUAUGAACCAAAAUUCACUUAAAUCAAGUACUAUUUAUGUGGGAAAACCCUCAUGAAAACUUAUGUGCACAGUGCAUGUGCAUUUGAUUCCCACAAGGUGGCAGACUUUCCUCAAGAUAAAAUAUGGUCUUCCUCUACCAAAGAAGCGUACAUCAGCAAAAUAAUUAUACUGGGGUAAGGUGAGCAAAUUAAGUUAUAGUUGCAUUGUUUAUUAUAAUUGUUCACCUUAUUUGAGGCUCUCUAAUAAGGAAAGGUUGUUAAAAAGGAAGUAGGCUUUCCCAUAUGCAGUGAAUAUGACAUGGGGUGAUGUCAGUAAAAACAAUUUGAACAAUGUUUGCUUAGAGGAUUACAGGUGACAUGAGACAAAGAGAGUGAAAAGAAUUUCUUUCUGAAGCCACAAGUUUAGACAUGUGUCAAUGCAUGCUCUAAGACAUGGAAAAAAUUGAGUGAGAGUGCAAAAAUAAAAGCCACGG